RNAcentral lists this long non-coding RNA (862 nucleotides) under Musa acuminata (dwarf banana). RNAcentral describes it as "long non-coding RNA (MACU_LNC001110)". Lineage: Eukaryota; Viridiplantae; Streptophyta; Magnoliopsida; Zingiberales; Musaceae. The record is from RNAcentral.
GAAAUCAUAGUCCCCUGUGUAGGUUUGCUGUCUGUCAUUUUGGCUUUACCUUUCUCCAAUCCCUCCUUCCUUCCUUCCCCCGUCCAUGUUGAUGUCUUCUUUCCCCAGUCCUCCUCAGACACCAAGUAGAAGUGGCAACCGAUGCACAAGAUGCAAGCAACAAGCAUCGACUGCAAGCUAAACCACUCGUUGCAGAGCCAAAGCCUGAAGGAACAAGCAACAUCACGGUCAAGAUCAGCAUCAAUAGAGAAGAGAAUCGUGUUAGAGUGCUCAAUCCACAUAAAGAAGCCAAAAGUGCAGCUAUCGCAGAUGUUUCAACCCUUAGCAGAGGUAAAAAUACUCUUCUAGUAUCAUCCUGCUUAUCUUCUCUCUUAACAGAUAGGAUUGAACAGAGUCUUUUUCGAGGAAGACCUGUCCACAGCAUCCACGGAUUGGCUCUCCCUGAAUCCAUGUCUUGUGGAGUGCAAUUGACAGAUCGAUCACAGUUCUUGACUUGGCAUUAUUUUUCCAUCAUCAAAAGUAUAAUUUCAGUAAGAAUAUUAGAAGGAACAUGUUGUUCCUUCUCGUGAUGAUGGUGAAAGAGAGUUAUGUAUCAGAAAGCUUCAACAGUUAAUGCCAAAGAAGAGAGUAUAAAUGCAGAAUUUUGGAUGAAUCAUGCAAUGGAACAAAUAUAGAUCUGAUAUUAUAAGCUGUUGACACCGAUGCUAAUUGUAACCACAGCAAUCCUCACAAAGGAUAUAAUAGCAACACUACAAUGCACAGAAAGAGUCUUCUCCUCAGACAUGACACAGAGCAUAUCAUCAUCAUACACUAACUCAGCAUUGGUUACUAGUGAACACUAGUAGAGAAGAGGGAAGGGAGG